UUAAAUUGAAGAGUUUGAUCAUGGCUCAGAUUGAACGCUGGCGGCAGGCCUAACACAUGCAAGUCGAGCGGCAGCGGAAAGUAGCUUGC
This 89-nucleotide ribosomal RNA is filed under the name Enterobacter cloacae. RNAcentral's name for it is "partial 16S ribosomal RNA". It matches the Rfam family "Bacterial small subunit ribosomal RNA", at positions 1 to 87 of the family's 1533-position model. RNAcentral also lists the same sequence under 5 other names. Lineage: Bacteria; Pseudomonadati; Pseudomonadota; Gammaproteobacteria; Enterobacterales; Enterobacteriaceae. The record is from RNAcentral.